Molecule: long non-coding RNA, 253 nt
Organism: Lolium rigidum
Lineage: Eukaryota; Viridiplantae; Streptophyta; Magnoliopsida; Poales; Poaceae
Exons: 3
Source: RefSeq, a predicted model, not a curated record
GGAUGACAGGAUUCACCUUCCACACAUGCGAAGUAUACAUACCCUUUAUAGACUGAACCUGAUGACUUUUAGAUUCAGAAAUCUGGUGCUGCUCCUAUUUAUUCCAAAGAUGAAAUAAUUGUUCUAUAGGGCAAGGAUUAAUUUUCUGCUUCAGGGACAAGCUAAGAUGCCUCAAAGGUCAUAUGAGCUCCUCCAAUUGAAAUAUAGUUUGAUUUUUGUUGCUAUCUAACUUGAUGAGAUGGAGAAACCACAA